This 495-nucleotide ribosomal RNA is filed under the name uncultured bacterium. RNAcentral describes it as "partial 16S ribosomal RNA". It matches the Rfam family "Bacterial small subunit ribosomal RNA", at positions 29 to 506 of the family's 1533-position model. The record is from RNAcentral.
AUGAACGCUGGCGGCGUGCCUAAUACAUGCAAGUCGCGCGAACAGACGAGGAGCUUGCUCCUCUGACGUUAGCGGCGGACGGGUGAGUAACACGUGGAUAACCUACCUAUAAGACUGGGAUAACUUCGGGAAACCGGAGCUAAUACCGGAUAAUAUAUUGAACCGCAUGGUUCAAUAGUGAAAGACGGUUUUGCUGUCACUUAUAGAUGGAUCCGCGCCGCAUUAGCUAGUUGGUAAGGUAACGGCUUACCAAGGCAACGAUGCGUAGCCGACCUGAGAGGGUGAUCGGCCACACUGGAACUGAGACACGGUCCAGACUCCUACGGGAGGCAGCAGUAGGGAAUCUUCCGCAAUGGGCGAAAGCCUGACGGAGCAACGCCGCGUGAGUGAUGAAGGUCUUCGGAUCGUAAAACUCUGUUAUUAGGGAAGAACAAAUGUGUAAGUAACUAUGCACGUCUUGACGGUACCGAAUCAGAAAGCCACGGCUAACUACGU